RNAcentral lists this ribosomal RNA (253 nucleotides) under uncultured bacterium. RNAcentral's name for it is "partial 16S ribosomal RNA". It matches the Rfam family "Bacterial small subunit ribosomal RNA", at positions 524 to 776 of the family's 1533-position model. The record is from RNAcentral.
UACAGAGGUCCCAAGCGUUGUUCGGAUUCACUGGGCGUAAAGGGUGCGUAGGUGGUGGGGUAAGUCGGAUGUGAAAUCUCCGAGCUCAACUCGGAAAUGGCAUUGGAAACUACCCUGCUAGAGGGUCGGAGGGGGGACUGGAAUACUUGGUGUAGCAGUGAAAUGCGUAGAGAUGUGGAGGAAUACCGAUGGCGAAGGCAGCCCCCUGGGCCAAUACUGACGCUCAUGCACGAAAGCGUGGGGAGCAAACAGG